This 207-nucleotide ribosomal RNA is filed under the name uncultured bacterium. RNAcentral's name for it is "partial 16S ribosomal RNA". It matches the Rfam family "Bacterial small subunit ribosomal RNA", at positions 568 to 774 of the family's 1533-position model. The record is from RNAcentral.
CACGUAGGCGGUUUAAUAAGUCAGUGGUGAAAGCCCAUCGCUCAACGGUGGAACGGCCAUUGAUACUGUUAGACUUGAAUUAUUAGGAAGUAACUAGAAUAUGUAGUGUAGCGGUGAAAUGCUUAGAGAUUACAUGGAAUACCAAUUGCGAAGGCAGGUUACUACUAAUGGAUUGACGCUGAUGGACGAAAGCGUGGGUAGCGAACA